GAGGAUCCAAACCAGGGCAGAGAGUCCACGUCCACAUCAAACCUCCGGUCUCCAUCGUCCUCGUCGUCCCCUCUGACCUCCGCUCUCUCCAGUCGAGGCCCCGGGGCAUGCUGGGUGCUGAGCGCUCAUGGCGAGGGCGAAGGUGGCGUUGCGUAGCGUGGAUCCCGGCCGCAGGACGUUCCUCUCCACCAGCCGGUUCAGACCAGGAUCCAGAGUCACCUGAAGCCGGCAGUCGCCAUCCGUCAGUGUGACGUCGUACAGGUCUUCACCUGGAGUGGACAGGGACAAUGAGGACGACAGGGACGGGUCAGAUGGAGGGAAACCGACCUUUUGAGUCAUAUUCUGUGUGAUGUUACUUCAUCCAUGCUUUAAAACAGCCUCCUCUCCUGUCACCAGGUUGGUUGUUGUCAGAGACUCUUGACUCUGUGUUGCCCUCUAGUGGAUGUACGGUAUUACAACCUGGCGAAUGUGGGCAGGGACGGAAUCGGACAUGUGUCUCUCUGUCAACGAGCCAGUACAACGGGUUUUAUUCUGUGUGGUCUCACCGCUGAGCACCGCCUGGGGGAAGUAGACGGACGAGCCCUGGUCUCUGCUGUAGCGCUGCAGGUCCACCACGGACAGGAAGUCCCUGCAGACGGCGGGAGAGGACGAGGACUCCUGCGACACAAGACGAGGACAGAUCAACAAAACACGAAACGAUCCGUGAACAAGGAGGAGACGGUGUGAAGCUGCUGACGUCGACAAUCAUGUGGAAAGAUGUGGAUUUAUUACACAUGUAACACACAUGUCACAAACAUGUUAUAGGAAAACAGGAUCUGACCUGGUUUGAUCCGGACCUGGACCGGGACCGGGUUAGGGUUCUGUGGAGUACGCAGCCCGCCGCCGCCAUGUUGGACAGACGGGAUCAACAAUAACAGUGCGGUGCAUUGUGGGAUUUCUCCUUCAAAUAACAUCAAAUCAAAAUGUUUAAUGUUAAAUCAAUUAUAUCUUUCUUCUUUUAUUUUUUCUAAACCAGUUUAAUAAAGAUAUGUUACAUUUAUGUAAAUAUGUUCAUGUUAUUCUCAUCAUUUUAAACUGAACCUUAAUGACAUUAAACAUGAAUAAACUAU
Long non-coding RNA from Platichthys flesus (European flounder), 1109 nucleotides. RefSeq lists it as uncharacterized. Lineage: Eukaryota; Metazoa; Chordata; Actinopteri; Pleuronectiformes; Pleuronectidae. The record is from RefSeq and is a predicted model, not a curated record. The transcript has 2 exons.